Molecule: long non-coding RNA, 388 nt
Organism: Armigeres subalbatus
Lineage: Eukaryota; Metazoa; Arthropoda; Insecta; Diptera; Culicidae
Exons: 3
Source: RefSeq, a predicted model, not a curated record
UUCAGUGUUAAAGUCGACGUCACUUGGCCAGGCCGAUUUGAAGGCUUCGUAGUUUUUAAUGAAGUCGGUGGUGAUCGAAGUGGCGGUUAAAAAAAUGCAUAAGCACCCUUUUUCUUCCAUUACACGGGGAAACAUAGGAUGGUAUUACGCCACCUUGUACGCCGGUGCAAUACGCUGUUCAUUACUGCGCUACCGGAUUCAUCAUAUCAGCUGAACCGCAAUGACAUGCUUAUGCAGGUGGAGUUGCUGAGUGAACAUCUGUACGAAAGGGGUCCUGUUAACGCAGCUAAUGCUUGCUGCUUUUCGCGCUCGGCAAUGGCGGCGAAUGUGGCAAAAUACACUACAUGUACUUAGAAGAUUAGAAAAAGCUAUCUUAGCAUAUAAAUAA